CCUGCAGUAAGAAAGGCGCGCGUAGUUGGUGCUGUUUGUUCCAUCACCAUGACUGCAUUCUUUAAUAGAGCUCAACCAGCACAGCAAAUCUUGGAAAUGGCUUUUGGUUUUCCACAGUGUGCUGUGAUGUCACUCGGGCAGCUGGUUCCUCGCAAAGACAGCAAAAGGCUUUGUGAGGCUGUGCAUUUCGGACUGGACCCGUGGAAGCUGCCCUAGGGCCCAGUCAGGACAGGAAUGUCAGUACUGCUCAGGAGGCCCACCUCAGCCCAGCAGGGUAUCUCUUUCCUUGUUUAGAUUAUCAACAGAAGCCAAGGUGUGGGCUUUUUAUCUUCUCAUUUGUAUCUUGACAUUUAAUAUCAUUGUUCAGUCUUCACUGCUCUGGUCGUUGUGGCAGAAAUUAAAUGUGGACUUCAUGAAAUUGCAGAUUUGAUGAGAUGUUCACUGCUAAACUGAAAAAUGGAUUAAACAUGUUAUUCUUAGGAUCCAAAGGCAUCUGCAGUGGUGAGCGGAUUGUUCUGAGCUCAUGUGCCAGGCAGGGCAGCACUCAGGAGCAGUUAUUGCUUUGCUGUGCACUGAGCAGUGUCACGAUAUUCUGAAAUCAAGAAGUGGACGGUCCUGCUUGUAAGUGGUGACAAGAAAUUUGCCAGAGCAAUACCUUCUGUCUGCAUGUUAGUGAUGACAUCACAUGUUUUAUAGGUCUAGGAUGUGUGAAGUGGGGUCUGCAGUCCAAGAAGGUCUGAGGGAAGGGCAAAUGUGCUUUUUUGAAAAUCUCUGCCUUUUCUAAGUGGCCUCUCUCACCUUUACAUGGAGGAGAGACCCUACCUGCUGCCUGGCCUGCCUGGCCUGUGCCCUCCCCUCAAGAGGGACCUGCAGCUGGUCACCCAGGCCUUCAGCUCCAACUUGACAGGGUCUUAGAGGCCCUGAGGAGAGUGUGCACCUUUGACAUAAAAGUGCACUCAGUAAAAAGCCCAUACGGUAGAGACCUACGCGGUAGGGUAUCCCUCAGCAGGGGUUUGUCCGAUGGCUCCCUAGGGAUGGAACUACGUGUUUUGAGAGAGAGACCCCGGAGAACCCCCUUCUCAUCUCAUUCUCCCUGUCAGAGGCACAUGCUGGAACUAGCACAGCCUGCUCCUGAUGUUCACUGGCUGGGGCAGGGCCUGUCAGGUCUCCCACUUCUCACAUUGUGAGCCCCUCUCCUCCCCCACACUUCAGGGCGAGGGGUGCAUCAUCACCAUUGGUCUUCUAACAUGGGAGUGAUCUUUCACCCAGUUUAGUCAAUGAGUUUUUAUGCCAGCAAGGACUUAUGAAUGUUUAUUUUAUGCUUCAGGUGCAGCACAAUAUUAAGUUCGUUAUUUUGCCGUUCGACUUUGGCUGGUGACAGCUUUCAUUUGGCUCCUUUCCAUUUUCAGAUCCCCCCCGGCCCCACACUUUCUGUCUGCCACUGUAAGCUGCUCCAGGCUCAUCCAGCCCACUCUCCACCCUGGAAUCAGCUGGUCUGUAGAGCCCUGCACUGCCGCACCACUGUACCUGCUCUUCUCCAUCUUCUUACUUGACCAAGAUAACUUGCUGAGAGACUCCCUGGCUGUGAUUUCCAGCAUAAUGCAUUCUGGAGUCGUAGCAGUACUUCAAAGGUUUCUUCACUAAUGUACCAGUAACUUCUUCAGGUCAAUAUACGUUCGUGGGUGGCAUUUUUGUGUCUUUAAAGGAAGGUGCUGUGCUGACUUAGUGUGACUCUUCCUUCUGGUUAUAGAAGAGUGUAUCUUCUAUCACACGCGAUAUCACUUCACAACACAACGGUGAAUGAGACAGAACAGCAACUAUUCUGCAGGGGUUGGGGUGAGGUGGAGAUUCUGGGGGAAGCCUCAGUGCCUGGCUGUGGAGCACAGUGGCUGGAGCAUCCGGGAAUGGCAGGUGGCUGCUGGGUGAACAUGGUGUGUGGGUGAGUGUGUGUAAGGAGACAGGCUGAUGACUGCAGGGGAGAAUCCGUCCUGAGGGACAGAAAUCUGGGAUCAGAACACCAGUUGCAAGUCAGUACUGAGACUCACUAGGACAUGAGGACCCUGGAUGGGCAGCAGUUGGCUGAAACUGAACAUGGAGACAUUCAUGAACUUUGUGCUCAUUAAGAGCAAGUGUGUUCUGACUGCUUGUGGUAGCUCCAAUGUUCUUCCCAAAACUCACUGCCACGAGAGUAGGAAGAGCGGGGAACUUUCAGAGGUGAUUGGGACCAGAGGCUCCUUAUAAGAGGGUGCGCUGGGUCCCACUGCACUCCUCAGCCACCUGUUUCUGAUCCACGCUUAGAAGUGCUUAGUCCCCGUCUUGGGAUCAGAAUCGUGACACCUGCCUGCAUCUGGAUGUGGGCCUUGAGGGCUCCGGGACUGUGAGCCAAGGGACGUGGGUUAGUCUUGGUCCCACAGCAGGUGGUCCUUCUGCAAGUUGCACAGAAUCUCUUCAGAUGCGGUCACAGCCGUUAUGCCUUUGCCCGGUGCAGAUGGUUUCCAUGAGGUGGAUGCUCUGUCCUAUGCUGACGGGGUUUGCCACAUUGCAGACCAUUCAUUUUGUCACAAACUGCAAACACAGUGGCAGUGAGAGCCUACUGCGCAAGGGGCCCAUAAAGCAGCCUCUGGGGCUGCGGGAGGACGGGAGGCUAAAUAAAGUGGCCUUCCCGGUGGCAGUGCAGGGAACCAGAAGCAGAGGCACAUCUGGUGCAGUCACCACCGGGAAGGGACACCGCUGAAUCAGACUGGAUCUGCCUCCUGAGCUGGCCCAGUGGUGCAUGCUCCAGCCCAGCAGACACACUGACCAAAGGGGCCAACUCAGGCUGCUGCGGUGGUGACCCUGCCCUGGGCUGCAGCUAAAUGUUCCUGUGACAUGCAGUGGAAAGCUGGUGGGACCUGGGAGAUCCAGAUUUGAGGGUCUCUGCUCAGCUAGACGUUCCCUGAUUACCCCUGUUCCUCUGUUCCCAAGUACCCAAAGCCCCCAACUUCCUUUUCCAGCCUGAGAUCAGCUUCUGACUCUCCCUGACACCCCCCAACAUGUCACAGGCCUCCCGUCCCGCCUUACCUCCAGCGCACACUGCUCUGCCCCCUUGCAGGUCGCUCCUCAGCUCCUCACAGGUGUGGUGACAGAGCCCCUUAUUUGUCUUUGUACUGCUGCCCUUCUGAACCCCACCACGGCCACCUCACACUGAAGGCCGUUACUGCCACACAGCCGCUCUGUGUAGUGUGAGUGGGACUGAGCCAGGGUACAGCUGCCGGGUGGAAGAGUGAGUUCUCCGAGCUGAAUUCAGGCCCAGGGAUGGCUCGGUUCUUCAGUCCUCACUUAACGAACCAUCUCACCUAGUACAGGCAGCAGUCUGUCCGUCAGUCGCAGCCACUGGGCCUCAAGCACAGGGACUGUGGACUCAAACAUGCAAAAUGCUGUCCUGUCACGGGUCAGUGGCCUCUGUAUGUCACUUUCGCUUUCUGUCCACAUGCAGGGUGGACCGACACUGUCGCCCUGGAGUUCUUGGAAGCUGUUCCGGCUCUGGGCUGCCUGGUUCUGGGACCUGGUUCUGAAAGCCGAGGUGUGGGGAGGCAGUGGUGGCCGUGCUGACGGGUCAGGACAGUUUUCUAGGGUGGCGCAUAGUGAGCCAGAGCUUUCAUGGGAUGCAGAACCCAGAGGAAGUGUGUGUGUGUGUGUGUGUGUGUGUGUGUGUGUGUGUGUAUGUGCAGAGAACUCAUCUUAGGGAACUGGCAAAUCAGACAUCUGCAGGACUGGCUGGGGACCGAGGGAGGAGCUGGUGAUUCAGGGCAGACUAGAGCACUCUGGUACAGAGGUCCCUCAUCCUCAGGGACCUCAGGGCGCAGCCUGCCCUCCCGUGGACUUCAGCUGGCUGGGUGAGUUUCGCCCACGUCAGGGAGGACACGCUGCUCCACUUAGAUGGAACGGUUAGUCACAGCUAAGAGGUGCGGCACAGGGCCGUCUAGACUGGCGUGGGCCCAAGCAUCCGGGUGCCAUGGGCUGUCAAGGUCAGACUUAGAAUUAACCUCGGAGUGCCUUGCUGCUCCCUCAGCCAGUGCUCACUGAUCCUCACCACAUGCGAAGCUUCCGGGUCCGCAGCCCCCUAGAGGCAGCGAGGAGACUUGUUAGACUGAUUUUGUGCAUGCAAAGGAAUACCCACAGUCACUGAUCUGUUACAGGUGAUUAUACAAGUCAUUUCAAUUUUUUCCUGCAACUAAUGUGGUACAUUUAUUACAUAAAAAGAUUAAGAAUAAACUAGAGGCUUGGACUAUUUGAGUAUGAUUAUCUGUAUCAUUUUUUCUAAUAAUAAGACUAUAUUGGAGAUACUUGCUUAUGAGUAUGCCCUUUGUAAAUAAAUUACCUGCCAAUAGAUGGCAAAUUCAUUAACUACGAAAGCAUCCUUUUAGAACAAUGAACUUUUUGUAUUGAAAUUUUUUCUUUCCCUGAGACAGGGUCUUGCUGUGCAAUUCAGGCUGGCCUUGAAUUCAUGACAAUUCUCCUGCCUCAGCCUCCAGAGUGCUGGAAUCACAGGUGUGCACUACCAAGCCCAGCACUGAGUUUUGUUUGCUUCUUUUCCUUGUUCUUUCUCGAAGGGAUCAGUCUCACUGUAGGACAGCUGACAGUGUCAGCAUGUGUGUGUCACCAGGGUGUGAGCUGCACACGGCACAGUGGGGUUGGUCUGAACCAAAGACCUGAAGACAGGAGCUAAGGAUGCUGGUGCAGCAGUCAGUAAAAAACGGCCACAUAUUUUAAGUCAACCCUGGAUUCUCCUCUGUUUCCAGGUGGUGUGUCUGUGUGUGUCUGUCUGUGUGCAAGAUUGCUGGUGUGGAACCUGGGCCUUGCACGGGCCAGGCAAGUGCCCUAUCCCUGAGCUGCACCCACGCUCUCCAGGUAAGCUGUGUCAGUAACCCACUUUCCACCUCUGUUGUGAGGUCAGAGCUCUUCUCAGGGGAGACUUCCACACUUGAGAUUUCUCUUACAUCAGUCACAGUACGUUUACUGCAUGGUGCUGGGGUUCAUUGGGUGGCCUUGGUCCUUGGCUCUGGGGUCCUCACUCAAUCUGCAGCGAGUCUGAAACUGCUCUGGCAGUCGGUUCUGGGUGUUGGUGGGAAAUGAGUGUAAGAAUGGGGGAAGAAGCUGAGGGACUGAGAGCUGAGCUUCCCACACAGCCAGGUUCCUUAUUUAAAAUUUUCCUUAAACAUUCCAGCAAAUAUGGCAGCAUGAUGGUCCAUGUCUGUAAUCCUAGAUACUCAGGAGGCUGAGGCAGGAGGAUCACAUGAGCCCAGAAGUCGGAGGCCGCCUAAAUAACAUCAGUGAGACCCUGCCUCAAAAACAAAACAAAGCAAAAAUAAUAAUAAUAAAAAAAGAAAGAAGAAAGAAAGUCCCAGUACCAAGAAUGCCUUCUUUCUCUUGGCUUCCUUGUCAGAUCCAAAUGUCCUUCAGCGAUGAGAAUCUAAUAUUACCUUCUUACAUGUAUUAAUACCGCAUAGGUCAGGCAUUACUUCUAUUCUCCAACCAUCUCAAAAGGAGAAGUGAGCAAUGCCCUCCCCACUUUAUAAGGGGGCUGUUGCAGCUUUAAGAGUCUCCAAGAUGCAGAGCUGAGACCCAGGGUGAGUUGCCCUCCCCCCCAAUCAGUCCCCAGCCGCGUCUGUUGGAAACAGCUAUCACAUCUUCCAUAGGUGAGUGAGUAAACUGUGGUACACUACAAUGGAGUAUUGUCCAGCAAAUAAAAAAUGUGGUAUGAACCAGGAGAAGACGUGGAGAAAUCUUAGGAAGAAGAAGUCAGCCUGAAAGAGCUACAUACCAUGCGAUGCUAGCAAUAUGUGGCAUUCUGGAAAACUUAGCAAUCGGAAGAUAGCUAGCUGCAGAAGGUAGGGGGAGGAAGAAUGAGCAGGUGGACAGUGAGAUGAUCUAAUAAUGGUGGACACCGGUCAUCGCUCACUUGUGUAAAUGGUACAGGAAAGGUACCACACCGAGAGAGCUGCAGUGUAAACCUGGGGCUUAGUGAGUAAUAAUGUAUCCACGUUGGCGAGCCAGUUGUGACAAGUAUGUUCCACUAAUGCAAGAUGUUAGCAAUAGGCAGAUGACAGGAGGAGGACAUGGGACUUUCUACUAUGGGCCUAAGUUUCUGUAAAUGCAUAAUGUAAAUGUAAAACAGUUGUAAAUGCAAAACAGCUGUAAAAAAUAACAUCUAUUAACUUAAAAAGCCUCUGGUUCUUUAGCUUCAGGUCUUAUGUUAAUUAACAGCAGAUUAUUCCGCAAUGAAUACCCUUCAUAUAUAAACAAAAUAAACAUGUUCUCUAUUA
Long non-coding RNA from Cavia porcellus (domestic guinea pig), 6305 nucleotides. RefSeq lists it as uncharacterized. NCBI's taxonomy places the organism in Eukaryota, Metazoa, Chordata, Mammalia, Rodentia, Caviidae. The record is from RefSeq and is a predicted model, not a curated record. The transcript has 2 exons.